This 168-nucleotide ribosomal RNA is filed under the name Penaeus latisulcatus. RNAcentral's name for it is "partial 16S rRNA". The record is from RNAcentral. Lineage: Eukaryota; Metazoa; Arthropoda; Malacostraca; Decapoda; Penaeidae.
GCUUGACAAUAACUUAGUUAAAUUAUAAAUUGUUAGUAUAACUUGAUUUUAGCUAGGGUCUGUUUCGUUGGGGCGACGAGAAUAUAACGAAUAACUGUUCUUUUAAAUAUAAUUACAAAGAUGAUUGGUGAAUGAUUGAUCCUCUAAUAGAGAUUAAAAGAUAAAGUU